Long non-coding RNA from Gasterosteus aculeatus aculeatus (three-spined stickleback), 2610 nucleotides. NCBI's taxonomy places the organism in Eukaryota, Metazoa, Chordata, Actinopteri, Perciformes, Gasterosteidae. The record is from Ensembl.
UCAAGAGUACAAUAAAAUUACAGAUUUAUUCACAAUUCACCGAUAAACAUUAGAGACCAGAAUACAUAUUAUUAGUUUAUUCCAAGUUUACACGUAUACAUCUACCUAAAUCACGACAGAGUGAUGAGAAGGCGUCUCAGCAAACACAAGACCGACGCUCACUCCACCGAGUACGUUUCAAGAUAAAUAAAAGACAAGAACACACAUUUUAUACUUCCAUGAGAGGUAUUUGAAAAAAACAACAAAUUACAACAUUAGCUCUAUGAUCAUUGGCCUUAUUCUACACUUGAUUCCAAAACACAAUCAAUUUACAUGAUACAAUCAGAGAAAUACUGUAUUAUAGGUUAUUAAAGUGCUCAAAUAUAAUUUGUAAUGUAUUCUAAUGGAAUAUUUAUAAUAUAUAUUUUAAUGAACAUAAUGUUUACUCGCCAAGGGGCAAUUCAUGUAACGUUAGAUUGAAUUGUGAGAAAUGCAAUAAAUAGCGGCGCCGAAAGAGGCUUUGAGUCAUUAAGAGAGAGAACAGUCACACCUCCAGUCGCUUGAUGAGCUCUUUACUCAAUACGCAAUGUUAACCCGUCCUCAUGGAAAACCUCUAGUUGAUGCUCAGCGAUAAUAAUAACCACGAAGAGACCCGAACCAUCAGUGAUCUCUCAGUAAUUUCGUAUUUAAAAACUCUAUGCUACAGUCUUUAAAAACAGGUGACAGGUACGCAGUCGGCAUCAUUUGAAUUGACAGCAGGGCUCUGUAACUCAUAGCAUUUGUCUACUGCUUAUCCAUUAUUACACAUUUUCUCUAUUAGUGAGUAUUUAGUAUGUAUGACGACGCUUUCUGUCAGUUCCUUGUAAGUUUUGGUAUUUUAGAGUUUACCAUCGAAUGGUGGAACGUAAAGGAAUGUGGGAUGAUGCUUCUAAUAGCAGAUAUUGGCUUUAGUCAUAUGCUGGUAUUUCAGGGGGUAAAAUUGGAUCAAAAUCACAACUUAAAUCACCAAAAGUGACGAACCAAGGACUUGAGACCAAGUUGAGUCAAAAGAUCAACAAGAAAACGUCCAUUGAUGGUCAUGGUCCAUUGGUGGAGAUGGUCAUGUUCCAUUGGUGGAGAUGGUCAUGGUCCAUUGGUGGAGAUGGUCAUGUUCCAUUGGUGGAGAUGGUCAUGGUCCAUCGGUGGAGAUGGUCAUGGUCCAUUGGUGGAGAUGGUCAUGGUCCAUCGGUGGAGAUGGUCAUGUUCCAUUGGUGGAGAUGGUCAUGGUCCAUCGGUGGAGAUGGUCAUGGUCCAUUGGUGGAGAUGGUCAUGGUCCAUCGGUGGAGAUGGUCAUGGUCCAUUGGUGGAGAUUGGUCACUGAGCGUUGUGAAUGGCUUUUCUCACUUUGAGUAUUUAUAUUUAUCUAGCUGCUCGACUCCAACACUUUCAUCUGGACAUUUUCCUACAGUUACAACCAGUAGAAUUUUAUUCUGGGAGGCGGAUUUUACAGCUUUCAAGACUUUUGGUCGUUGUAAACAAGUAUGUGUAUGAAAACAUCGUCUUCUCAGGCAGCGUAUUGCGCCUUUUCUCUUUGGUAUCAGAUAGAACGAUGUCACCAAACCUGCAAUCUAUGAGUUUAAAAUGUAUUGUGGAAUGAUUCAUUGAAUGGCAGUUUAAAUGCCCUCACCUGUAAAUAUAAUUACCUGUUUCGGGCCGUAUACACACAUGACCAAAUAUCCAAAUAUCGCAAACAUUCCGUGAACAAACACAUGAAAAAAACAACAACAUAGCACUAUAACAUAUUCAUACGCAUGAACAGGAUUAGUUCACAAUUAGAAUGUAUUUCUGAUCGUUGUAAACAUUGUGACUUGUAUAUACACAUAAAACAGCAGCAUAUCACUGAACCACCUGUACAAAUCUAACUCCGGCUUUCCCUUCAUAUCCACUAUGAGUUCCAGCCAAAUAGGAUUUUUGUGGAAUGCUCAUGUCGUUGACAUUUCCCUGGAAUAUUUACAUUUUCUGCACCGCGUGUGUGUGUGUUUUUAAACCGAGUGCCGUCCUUUGGAAUCUCUGUGGGAAGAUACGAUACCGUUUCUGUGACACGUCCAUCAACACAUUCCUCAACUAACGCUGAACGCACAGACGCCGUCUCCAAAGACAUAUUCCAGCUUUGGCAUCUCGCUCUACCGGAAAAUUGGAGUAUGGAACAUUCGUUUGAACUGAUUUGAGAUCUUAAUUAAAGAGAUGAAUACUGAGGGGUUGGUUUUAAACAGCGGAAACUGUACAACAUUUUGAGAAAGAAAUAAGACGGAAGAGCACAGCCUUGUUACGUAGCAUAAUCCUCAGAGUAAAGUAUUCAAAAUAGGUGUGCAACAACGGAUGACUUCAAUUACCUGAGUACCUUCCCGUUCAUACUGAAGUGGACUUAAGUCAACGGCAAAACACGUGAGAUACCGUGCCAGAAAGCGUGAGCAGAUGCCUCCAGGUUGAAGCAUUUAGCAUCUUCUUAAGGCUAAACCCGCACUUAGCCUCCCCACAACCUGCUGAUCAAACCGUCCACCCGUGUGUCACUAAAGAGCAUUCGACCCACCUGGCUUUACAGAGGCGAUUAAGGCAACUACUGCGACUAAACACCACCCCCCCUCACCACCC